AACGAACGCUGGCGGCAGGCCUAACACAUGCAAGUCGAACGCAUCCUUCGGGGUGAGUGGCGCACGGGUGAGUAACACGUGGGAAUGUACCCUUUGGUUCGGAAUAACGUCUGGAAACGGACGCUAAUACAGGAUGAGCCAUGUGGGGGAAAGAUUUAUCGCCGAAGGAGCAGCCCGCGUCUGAUUAGCUAGUUGGUGGGGUAAAGGUCUACCAAGGCGACGAUCAGUAGCUGGUCUGAGAGGAUGAUCAGCCACACUGGGACUGGGCACACGGCCCGGACUCCUACGGGAGGCAGCAGUGGGGAAUAUUGGACAAUGGGCGGAAGCCUGAUCCAGCCAUGCCGCGUGAGUGAUGAAGGCCUUCGGGUUGUAAAGCUCUUUCGCACGCGACGAUGAUGACGGUAGCGUGAGAAGAAGCCCCGGCUAACUUCGUGCCAGCAGCCGCCGUAA
This 450-nucleotide ribosomal RNA is filed under the name uncultured bacterium. RNAcentral describes it as "partial 16S ribosomal RNA". It matches the Rfam family "Bacterial small subunit ribosomal RNA", at positions 29 to 523 of the family's 1533-position model. The record is from RNAcentral.